This 497-nucleotide ribosomal RNA is filed under the name uncultured bacterium. RNAcentral describes it as "partial 16S ribosomal RNA". It matches the Rfam family "Bacterial small subunit ribosomal RNA", at positions 28 to 507 of the family's 1533-position model. The record is from RNAcentral.
GACGAACGCUGGCGGCGUGCCUAAUACAUGCAAGUCGAGCGCAGAAGGGUGGUACUUGUACCAACUGGAUGAGCAGCGAACGGGUGAGUAACGCGUGGGGAAUCUGCCUUUGAGCGGGGGACAACAUUGGGAAACGAAUGCUAAUACCGCAUAAAAACUUUAAACACAAGGUUUAAGAGUGAAAGACGCAAUUGCAUCAAUCAAAGAUGAGCUCGCGUCGUAUUAGCUUGUUGGUGAGGUAAAGGCCCACCAAGGCGAUGAUACCUAGCCCACCUGAGAGGGUGGUUGGCCACCUUGGGACUGGGACCCGGCCCCAACCCCCUCCGGGGGCAGCCGUAGGGCAACUUCGGCCAUGGGCGGAAGUCUGACCGAGCCACGCCGCGUGAGUGAAGAAGGUUUUCGGGUCCUAAAACUCUGUUGGUAGGGAAGAACGUUGUUUAGAGUGGAAAGCUCAUCAAGUGACGGUAACUACCCAGAAAGCGACGGCUAACUACGUG